Molecule: non-coding RNA, 164 nt
Organism: Chiloscyllium plagiosum (whitespotted bambooshark)
Lineage: Eukaryota; Metazoa; Chordata; Chondrichthyes; Orectolobiformes; Hemiscylliidae
Source: RefSeq, a predicted model, not a curated record
GGGGGAUCUGGAGCCUUCAAUAAAUCCUGCAGUGAGACUAUUGGGCCGAUCUUGAUGACCUAAUUUUGCUGAUGUUUACCAGAAUUGGCUGUGCACAGCUUCAGAUUCCCAGGCUGGGAAAUGUACUCAGGAUACUCCUGACUCAGCAGAAUUCCCAAUUCCUG